CCACCUCCCGCCCUCCACCCCGCGCCGGAUGCAGCUGCGACGGCAGGCUAGUCGUGCUGGCUGCUGCCGGUCUUUCUGUACGUUUCUCUGCCUCUGAGGAUCGCAGUGAUAACGGGGUCCACCCGUCACUUAGAGAUGCUUCCCACUUCUGCACAACUAAUUGUCCUGUACAGACGAUAGCUAGGACAUAGUCCCCGUGGAAUGCCGCAGCCUCCAUGGAUCCAUGAAGACUAGUAUCACAUGCCAGGGACCUGGAAGGAACUGUAGAAGGCCUAGGUCCUUAAUAGUGUGACUGUCACUGCCCUUCACCUGGCUGGCCUCCUUCCAGACCUGUGUGAGAAAAUAAAUCCCUUAUAUGGUUAUUCCAACAUCCUUACUCAAGCCUCAAGCAGUUGAAUGGCCUUUUUUUGUUUUUGUUUUAGAUAGGGUUUCUCUCUGUAGCCCUGGCUGUCCUGAGACUUGCUCUGUAGAUCAGGCUGGCCUCAAAUUCACAGAGAUCCACCUGCCUCUGCUUCCUGAGUGCUAAGAUUAAAGGCGUGCACCACCACCACCUGUCUGCUAAAUGGACUUCUAACAGUGUUUUCCAGAAGCCUAUAUGACCUAUGACGUUACAGCCAGUUGAAACAGAUUUGAGGAAAGCCACCUGCUCUUUGUUGAGCUAGACUACCCAGAGGAUUUGCAGCACUACGUAGCAGCACUAUUCUAUAUGCUAAUUUUGGGGAAAUAUAGCUAUUUUCAUUAAAGAUGUUAUCGUGUGAUUAUUUUAUUAAUUUUCAGUUUUUAUUUUUUUGGGUUACUGGGGAUUGAAUCCAGGGCCUUGUGCUAUACAUGUGUCAAUAAGUAAAGCAAUUUAAAAGUUGGGGCUGCUCAACCCCUCCUCCCAGCCUGCCUCUGUCCUCUUGGGACUCAGCCUCCUGGUGCAGUCCCAG
Long non-coding RNA from Peromyscus californicus insignis, 929 nucleotides. RefSeq lists it as uncharacterized. The transcript has 3 exons. The record is from RefSeq and is a predicted model, not a curated record. Lineage: Eukaryota; Metazoa; Chordata; Mammalia; Rodentia; Cricetidae.